CACGUAGGGCGCAAGCGUUGUCCGGAAUUAUUGGGCGUAAAGAGCUCGUAGGUGGUUUGCUGCGUCCGCUGUGAAAACCCAAGGCUUAACCUUGGGCUUGCAGUGGAUACGGGCAGACUAGAGGUAGGGAGGGGAGAAUGGAAUUCCCGGUGUAGCGGUGAAAUGCGCAGAUAUCGGGAGGAACACCGGUGGCGAAGGCGGUUCUCUGGGCCUUACCUGACACUGAGGAGCGAAAGCGUGGGGAGCGAACAGG
RNAcentral lists this ribosomal RNA (253 nucleotides) under uncultured bacterium. Its description in RNAcentral is "partial 16S ribosomal RNA". It matches the Rfam family "Bacterial small subunit ribosomal RNA", at positions 524 to 776 of the family's 1533-position model. The record is from RNAcentral.